UCAUGAAUCAAACGGGCAGACUUUGGGAAUGGUCAUGGGCUGUACAAACGCCAACUGCUGUGAUCACAUCCUGCUGUGACUGAGGGGAAGUUUGGCUUGGAAAGAACUUGUUGCACAGACACAUGUGGCCUCAGCAGGAUGGAUCCUUAACAGAGGAGACAGAUUCCAGAUUCAGGCCUGCUGGAGCAGGGUUUAAAUCCUCCGAAUUCGGAUGGACGGAUACUGGGCCUACUUCAGCGUCGCUGAGAAGUCAGUGACCCGUACCCUGCGAGCGCGCGGUCGACAGAGCUGGAACUCUUGUCCCGAAUGCUCCUUCCAGGUGCCCCUCUGAGGAAGAGCGGACAGAUGAGGUGCGACGUGCAUGGACAUCUGGCCUCGUGAGCCUCUUAAUCUCGUCAAAGCCUGCUACGUGCGCCAUGCUGGACGGCACCUACACACGCAGAGCGGCCUGGGCCGGGGAAGGAGCCACGGCGAGAGGGAUGGCAGUUCGGGAGAGCAUCAGGACAGAACCGGGGAAGGGCAAGAGGCUCCGGCGGGAGGAGGGGACUCAGAAGCGGAAAAUGCGCAGGAGGCCGGGGAAGAACAAGGCCCGAGAAAGGAUGGACGGCGGGUAAAGCGGCAGGUCUCCAGGGAACGGCCAGCGAUGCUGGACCACGGACGAGCGAGUGAGCGGAUGAUGGGGCAAGAGCACAGAGGUGGGACCUAUGGACGGCGGCGCCAGGAGCCACGGAAAAGCCUGAGACACACAGGGCCCGAGUCCGACUUCAGUGGUCUGUGGCAGUCAGUGGUCUGUGGCG
Molecule: long non-coding RNA, 797 nt
Organism: Lutra lutra (Eurasian river otter)
Lineage: Eukaryota; Metazoa; Chordata; Mammalia; Carnivora; Mustelidae
Exons: 3
Source: RefSeq, a predicted model, not a curated record